AAAAUAUGUAUAGUUCAUGUAAUGUAUUGCUACACUUGAUGUAGGCAAUAAGAAAAAUUAGUGACGACAAAAAGGAUAAAUGUGAAAGAAUAAAAUAAUAAUUUUAUGAAGAUAACGGUUGUUCCUAAUCGUUUACUAACAGAAUUUAACUUUAGAGAUUAUAUUUGAAAUAAAAUAUUAAAAGAAUAGUUUUAAUAUUAGUCUUCUAAUAGAAAUAAAUAAGAAAAUUAAAAAUUUUUCAGAAAUAUAUAAAUAGUUGUCUUAUUUUUUUUGAGAAAAAAAUAGCAAGCUAACUGCUUCAUUCAUUAAACGAGAUGAACUAAACAGACAGGAUGAAAACAGCAAAGUCCUUCAAGGCAUAGCCAAAAUACAUAACAAGAAGAAAGCAGAA
Molecule: long non-coding RNA, 391 nt
Filed under: Ananas comosus (pineapple)
Lineage: Eukaryota; Viridiplantae; Streptophyta; Magnoliopsida; Poales; Bromeliaceae
Description: long non-coding RNA (ACOM_LNC020668)
Source: RNAcentral